ACGAAGGGUGCUAGCGUUGUUCGGAAUUACUGGGCGUAAAGCGCGCGUAGGCGGCUUUUCAAGUCAGGGGUGAAAUCCCACAGCUUAACUGUGGAACUGCCUUUGAAACUGUAAAGCUUGAGUGUCGGAGGGGAUAGCGGAAUUGCUAAUGUAGAGGUGAAAUUCGUAGAUAUUAGCAGGAACACCGGUGGCGAAGGCGGCUAUCUGGACGACAACUGACGCUGAGGCGCGAAAGCGCGGGGAUCAAACAGGA
RNAcentral lists this ribosomal RNA (253 nucleotides) under uncultured prokaryote. RNAcentral's name for it is "partial 16S ribosomal RNA". It matches the Rfam family "Bacterial small subunit ribosomal RNA", at positions 525 to 777 of the family's 1533-position model. The record is from RNAcentral.